This 429-nucleotide ribosomal RNA is filed under the name Gemmatimonadota bacterium. RNAcentral's name for it is "Gemmatimonadetes bacterium partial 16S ribosomal RNA". It matches the Rfam family "Bacterial small subunit ribosomal RNA", at positions 355 to 776 of the family's 1533-position model. The record is from RNAcentral. Lineage: Bacteria; Pseudomonadati; Gemmatimonadota.
UAGGGAAUCUUCGGCAAUGGACGAAAGUCUGACCGAGCAACGCCGCGUGAGUGAAGAAGGUUUUCGGAUCGUAAAACUCUGUUGUUAGAGAAGAACAAGGACGUUAGUAACUGAACGUCCCCUGACGGUAUCUAACCAGAAAGCCACGGCUAACUACGUGCCAGCAGCCGCGGUAAUACGUAGGUGGCAAGCGUUGUCCGGUUUUAUUGGGCGUAAAGCGAGCGCAGGCGGUUUCUUAAGUCUGAUGUGAAAGCCCCCGGCUCAACCGGGGAGGGUCAUUGGAAACUGGGAGACUUGAGUGCAGAAGAGGAGAGUGGAAUUCCAUGUGUAGCGGUGAAAUGCGUAGAUAUAUGGAGGAACACCAGUGGCGAAGGCGGCUCUCUGGUCUGUAACUGAAGCUGAGGCUCGAAAGCGUGGGGAGCAAACAGG